Molecule: long non-coding RNA, 289 nt
Organism: Arabidopsis thaliana (thale cress)
Lineage: Eukaryota; Viridiplantae; Streptophyta; Magnoliopsida; Brassicales; Brassicaceae
Product: other RNA
Exons: 1
Source: RefSeq
GACUGUCCUCUUUCGUAACUAGAUGAACUAAUAUUAAAAAGAACUUCUUACAAAAUUCGAUUGAUCAUUCAGUUUGUAGAAGAAAUGUUUUUAGUUUUUUUAUGUUUUUUUUUGUCUAUCCCAGAAAGGAGAGACGAUUUUGGGUAUUUUUCGGCGAGGGAUAGGGAGGGCUGAUGAAAAAGUCAAAGUUUAAAUGUUUUACUUAAAAAAAAUCGCAUAUUUGUCGAUAAUCCAGAGAAGUCUUGCUUGUGGUAUGCUGAAAGUUCGAUGAUGUAUGUGAGUGGUGCUA